RNAcentral lists this long non-coding RNA (797 nucleotides) under Homo sapiens (human). RNAcentral describes it as "HSALNT0169778". Lineage: Eukaryota; Metazoa; Chordata; Mammalia; Primates; Hominidae. The record is from RNAcentral.
AGAGAUGCAGGCCGAUAGCAGGGCACGCCGGCCUGGAAGGUCACAGUCAGGAGACGCCGGGUCCUUCUGAGAACAACACAGAGCCCCCCGGGAGCUCCACUUUUUGCUGUAUCACUAUCAGCCAUAAAAAGCAAGGAAGUUCUGGUACAUGCUACAAACAACAUGGAUGAACCUGAAAACCUCAUGCUAAGUGAAAGGAGCUGACACAAGGGGACAUGUACUAUAUAACUGCACGGACACCAGAUGUCUAAAAUAGGCCAAUCCAUAGAGACCUAAAGACACAUUCACCCUGUCAGCGCGUGCAGAGCAGCUGUGAUGGCUGCAUCGUGUUGCUGGAAGCAGGCCAGUGUUACCAUGUUCCUGGGCGUGCAGCUGCUGAGCAGGCAGCAUGGAGGCCGCCCUGGCUGCAGGGGACCCUUAGCCUGAGGAUCCUGCCCCAAGUUGCUGAUGCCAACAGCCAGCCCUUGCCAGAUGUCUUAUGUCUGACUCUUGGGUGUUUAGGCAGCAUAACAGUGAAAUUGAUAAUAACUAUGGAUAUCAAUUUUGAGUGUGUAAUUUUAACCAGAGCAAACCUUUAUUGAUCUCUUACUCUGUUCUCAGGCCUUCUCAUGCAUCUUACUUAAUUCUCUCAGUUCCCCAGGAGGCAGGGACUAACAUUAUCUUCUGUGUAGACCAGUGGGGAGCAACUCUGUGUGUGUGAGUGUAUGUGUGUGUGUGUGUGUGUGUGUGUGUGUAGGUCAUUCAGGACAAGUUAAAACACUUAUGGGUGUGUGUGUAGGCCAUUCAGGACAAGUUAA